GACGAACCGUGCGAACGUUGUUCGGAAUCACUGGGCUUAAAGGGCGCGUAGGCGGCCUGCUUAGUCGGGGGUGAAAUCUUUCGGCUUAACCGGAAAAUUGCCUUCGAUACUGGCAGGCUCGAGCGAGGUAGGGGCGGAUGGAACUUCCGGUGGAGCGGUGAAAUGUGUUGAUAUCGGAAGGAACGCCGGUGGCGAAAGCGAUCCGCUGGACCUCUUCUGACGCUGAGGCGCGAAAGCCAGGGGAGCAAACGGGAUUAGAUACCCCAGUAGUCC
RNAcentral lists this ribosomal RNA (273 nucleotides) under uncultured bacterium. Its description in RNAcentral is "partial 16S ribosomal RNA". It matches the Rfam family "Bacterial small subunit ribosomal RNA", at positions 524 to 796 of the family's 1533-position model. The record is from RNAcentral.